Molecule: unclassified non-coding RNA, 322 nt
Filed under: Coprinopsis calospora
Lineage: Eukaryota; Fungi; Basidiomycota; Agaricomycetes; Agaricales; Psathyrellaceae
Description: partial internal transcribed spacer region
Rfam family: Eukaryotic small subunit ribosomal RNA (bases 1-46)
Source: RNAcentral
AAGUCGUAACAAGGUUUCCGUAGGUGAACCUGCGGAAGGAUCAUUAUUGAAUAAAUCUGACGUGGUUGUCGCUGGCUCCCCCGGGAGUAUGUGCACGCCCGUCACCUUUAUUUCUCCACCUGUGCACACACUGUAGGCCUGGAUACCUCUCGUCGCAAGGCGGAUGCGUGGCUUGCUGUCGCUUUCGAAAGAAGGCCGGCUUGCCAUGAAUUUCCAGGUCUAUGAUUUCUUACACACCCCAAACUGAAUGUUAUGGAAUGUCAUCUCAAGGCCUUGUGCCUAUAAACCUAUACAACUUUCAGCAAUGGAUCUCUUGGCUCUC